Cololabis saira (Pacific saury) is the source of this 536-nucleotide long non-coding RNA. RefSeq lists it as uncharacterized. NCBI's taxonomy places the organism in Eukaryota, Metazoa, Chordata, Actinopteri, Beloniformes, Belonidae. The transcript is spliced from 4 exons. The record is from RefSeq and is a predicted model, not a curated record.
ACCUGAGAGUAAAUGUCUUCCCUUGGAGCACCAGAUUGGAGGGAAACUCACACAAAGGAAAUCCCCUCUGGUUGUGUGGUGCUGUGGAAUGGCUCCCAAGGUCGACUCAGGAAGAUGAAGUCCAUGUUCUACAGCAGUCUCAAGAUGAGCCAUGCCAGAUGCCUGCAGGACGGCAACAGAAGUGGAAACAAAUGGAACCUCCCUUGUGUUGAGAUGUGACACUGAGCAUCAACCUGGAGACCACCGGACUUUAACUGGACACCUUUAAAUAUCCCCAUCAGCAGCUCUGCCCUUCGCAGGUAUGUCUGGUGAGUCACGCCGUCUGUUACCGCGGCUUUCACCAGCUGAAGGUUUCUGUUGUCAGGGAUUUCACUGCUGACAACAUUUUCAAAAGAACUACUGUCACAAUGGAUCUACAUGAAGCCAUUCAGGACAAGCGGAGAGGUAGGAAGUCCUUUUUCUUUUUUUGGGUGGAAGCGCAAGGCCUCUCCAGUUUUCCACUGGUUCUUCGUCUGUGCCACCAACUUUCAAGGCAG